Molecule: long non-coding RNA, 377 nt
Organism: Mus musculus (house mouse)
Lineage: Eukaryota; Metazoa; Chordata; Mammalia; Rodentia; Muridae
Product: predicted gene, 39809
Exons: 4
Source: RefSeq, a predicted model, not a curated record
CUUUGCUUCUCGCACGGUAGACAUCUGCUCACAACUGAAAUGCCUUGGAAGAACUUGAUCCCUUCGGGCUAGAAGAGGGAUGAACACGGGUAGAAGCUCUGCCUGCAUCUGCAGUUGCCAGUUUUGGGAUGCCCUGGCCAAGAGGAGACUGUUCUAUCUGAAUUCAGGAAACCAUCAGUCCAGUUCAGUAGUGUCAUAAUACCGAUCAAGAAUGAGCGGCACUGUCACAGUCCAGAAGAAACAUCCAGGCCUCUGCUGAGUCAGAAUGAGUCAGCAGGGAGUGACCAGAAUCAGCCUGAAUGCCAGAAGUUCUCUGCCUUGCCUCUCUCAACAAAGCGAAGAAGCUUUGCAAUUUUAUUGUUGGGAGCCGCGCCCAC